GCAAGGCUGAAACUCAAAGGAAUUGACGGGGGCCCGCACAAGCGGUGGAGCAUGUGGUUUAAUUCGAAGCAACGCGAAGAACCUUACCAGGUCUUGACAUCCCCUGACAACCCAAGAGAUUGGGCGUUCCCCCUUCGGGGGGACAGGGUGACAGGUGGUGCAUGGUUGUCGUCAGCUCGUGUCGUGAGAUGUUGGGUUAAGUCCCGCAACGAGCGCAACCUUCGCCUCUAGUUGCCAGCAUUCGGUUGGGCACUCUAGAGGGACUGCCGGCGACAAGUCGGAGGAAGGUGGGGAUGACGUCAAAUCAUCAUGCCCCUUAUGACCUGGGCUACACACGUGCUACAAUGGGCGGUACAAAGGGCUGCGAACCCGCGAGGGGGAGCGAAUCCCAAAAAGCCGCUCUCAGUUCGGAUUGCAGGCUGCAACUCGCCUGCAUGAAGC
This 441-nucleotide ribosomal RNA is filed under the name Geobacillus stearothermophilus. RNAcentral's name for it is "bacterial SSU rRNA". It matches the Rfam family "Bacterial small subunit ribosomal RNA", at positions 888 to 1326 of the family's 1533-position model. The record is from RNAcentral. Lineage: Bacteria; Bacillati; Bacillota; Bacilli; Caryophanales; Anoxybacillaceae.